UACGGAGGGAGCUAGCGUUGUUCGGAAUCACUGGGCGUAAAGCGCACGUAGGCGGAUCUUUAAGUCAGGGGUGAAAUCCCGAGGCUCAACCUCGGAACUGCCUUUGAUACUGGGGAUCUCGAGUCCGGGAGAGGUGAGUGGAACUGCGAGUGUAGAGGUGAAAUUCGUAGAUAUUCGCAAGAACACCAGUGGCGAAGGCGGCUCACUGGCCCGGAACUGACGCUGAGGUGCGAAAGCGUGGGGAGCAAACAGG
This 253-nucleotide ribosomal RNA is filed under the name uncultured bacterium. RNAcentral describes it as "partial 16S ribosomal RNA". It matches the Rfam family "Bacterial small subunit ribosomal RNA", at positions 524 to 776 of the family's 1533-position model. The record is from RNAcentral.